GUUCUUUUAGUUUAAUGGUAAAAUAUUGUCCUUCUAAGACAACAGAUUUUGGUUCGAAUCCGAAAAAGAAUU
RNAcentral lists this transfer RNA (72 nucleotides) under Cantharellus cibarius (golden chanterelle). Its description in RNAcentral is "tRNA-Arg". It matches the Rfam family "tRNA". From Rfam's summary of the family: Transfer RNA (tRNA) molecules are approximately 80 nucleotides in length. Their secondary structure includes four short double-helical elements and three loops (D, anti-codon, and T loops). The record is from RNAcentral. Lineage: Eukaryota; Fungi; Basidiomycota; Agaricomycetes; Cantharellales; Hydnaceae. RNAcentral also lists the same sequence under 1 other name.